This 247-nucleotide ribosomal RNA is filed under the name uncultured bacterium. RNAcentral describes it as "partial 16S ribosomal RNA". It matches the Rfam family "Bacterial small subunit ribosomal RNA", at positions 86 to 334 of the family's 1533-position model. The record is from RNAcentral.
AGAUGGCGACCGGCGCACGGGUGAGUAACGCGUAUCCAACCUGCCGAUAACUCGGGGAUAGCCUUUCGAAAGAAAGAUUAAUACCCGAUGGCAUAAUAGAACCGCAUGGUUUGAUUAUUAAAGAAUUUCGGUUAUCGAUGGGGAUGCGUUCCAUUAGGCAGUUGGUGGGGUAACGGCCCACCAAACCUUCGAUGGAUAGGGGUUCUGAGAGGAAGGUCCCCCACAUUGGAACUGAGACACGAUCCAA